AAAAGCUCGUAGUUGGAUCUCAGUUCCAGACGGGCGGUCCGCCUAACGGUGGUUACUGCCCGGCCUGAACAGCCGGCCGGUUUCCCUAGAUGAUCUUCACCGGUUGUCCUGGGUGACCGGCACGUUUACUUUGAAAAAAUUAGAGUGCUCAAAGCAGGCGCGUAGCCUGGAUAAUGGUGCAUGGAAUAAUGGAAUAGGACUUCGUUUCUAUUUUGUUGGUUUUCGGAACACGAGGUAAUGAUUAAGAGGGACAGACGGGGGCAUUCGUAUUGCGACGCUAGAGGUGAAAUUCUUGGACCGUCGCAAGACGAACUACUGCGAAAGCAUUUGCCAAGAAUGUUUUCAUUAAUCAAGAACGAAAGUUAGAGGUUCGAAGGCGAUCAGAUACCGCCCUAGUUCUAACCAUAAACGAUGCCAACCAGCGAUCCGCCUGAGUUCCUCAAAUGACUCGGCGGGCAGCUUCUGGGAAACCAAAGUGUAUGGGUUCCGGGGGAAGUAUGGUUGCAAAGCUGAAACUUAAAGGAAUUGACGGAAGGGCACCACCAGGCGUGGAGCUUGCGGUUUAAUUUGACUCAACACGGGGAAACUCACCCGGCCCGGACACUGGAAGGAUUGACAGAUUAAGAGCUCUUUCUUGAUUCAGCGGGUGGUGGUGCAUGGCC
Molecule: ribosomal RNA, 662 nt
Filed under: Psalmopoeus reduncus
Lineage: Eukaryota; Metazoa; Arthropoda; Arachnida; Araneae; Theraphosidae
Description: SSU rRNA
Rfam family: Eukaryotic small subunit ribosomal RNA
Source: RNAcentral